AACCCCGCGGCGGCGGGCGGGAGGUGCUGGGGCCAGGGGAGGCCCCGAGGGACCCCGCCGCCCGGUCUGCGCCCUGAUCCCGCAGGGUCCUGUGGAAAUGCGGUGUCUGCCUCCCCGCCUCCUGCGCUCACACAUGCAGGCCUGGGGCCUGCGGGUCCCGGGGCUCUGAGCCUGCACAGCCCACGGGCCGCAGCCGCAGGCCCCGCACUGGUAGCUUAGGUGGACACGGAGGCUGAGGGGGAGUUUCCAAGGGGCCUGGCCUCACGCUCUGCCCGUCACAGCCGCCACCCCUCACCGGCCCUCCACCCACCCCUAACUCCUUAACCUCUCCCGGCCUCGGUUUCCUCACCUAUUAACUAGAGAUUAGUCAUAGCUACCAUCCAGGCUUGUUAUAUUAAAAUAGAAUAAUUAUGUAAUGUGCCGUGUGCACUCCAAACGCGGUCCUCUUUCCCUGUCCCACACCUCCUUCCUCCUGCAUCAGGCCUGGGGAGGGGGGCGUGCCGAUGUCACCCCCAACCCCCAGGCCUAGAGUCCUGGACACAUGGACGCCCCUGCCAGAGCUCCCCUCCCCGCGCUUGGGGUUACUUUGAACCCCGCCUCCUACAAGAGGAUGGUCCAGCCUAUUGUCGGAACCUGCAGGAAUCCCAGGCUGCGACCCAAGAAUAUUAGCGGAGGCCCAGCCUGGCUGGGGCUCUGCAAGUCCGACCUGGGUGCCCCAGAGAGCUGCUCCGGGAAAGACGUUUACCUGCUGCCCAGAGCUGGGACUGCAGACCCUGAUUGGCGAGGGCUUGGAGAGUAGCUGAGAACCUUCCCUUCAGCUACUGAAGACCAGACAGGGCUUUCUGUAUCACGCUGCCUGACGAUGAUGAGGGUGCAGUGACUAAGAGUGCAGAUGAAAGGCCCAGCUCUCCAACCAGGUGGAUGGAUUUGCAAGGAGCUUCUAUCUGGGCGUGGUGGCUCAUGCCUGUAAUCCCAGCACUUUGGGAGGCUGAGGCGAGCGAACCACCUGAGGGUGGGAGUUCAAGACCAGCCUGACCAACAUGGAGAAACCCCAUCUCUACUAAAAAUACAAAAUUAGCCGGGCAUGGUGGCAGGCACCUGUAAUCCCAGCUACUCGGGAGGCUGAGGCAGGAGAAUCGCUUGAACCCGGGAGGCGGAGGUUGCAGUGAGCCAAGAUCGUGCCAUUGCACUCCAGCCUGGGCGACAGAGUGAGACUCCAUUUCAAAAAAAAAAAAAAAAAAGAAAGGAGCUUCUGAGAGAUGGGGUCUCCACCUCCCCAUCAGAUACUCCAGGGCUUUGGAAAGAGCUGGCUGGCUCUUGGGCAUCACCUCAACUUUCCCCUAGGUGACGCUGCCAAGGAACUGUGGCACUGUCCCUACUUCCCACAUCCAGCUCCACGGUUCCACCUCCCACCCCCCUUGCCUGUGGAAGCUCAAAAUAAGCUUUCUAGAGCAUGAUGUUUCUUGUGUGAGGGGUCAUCUGAGGUUGUAAAGACUGAAGCUCUUCACCAGAGAAACGCAGGAAGCAUCCCGCAGCUAAGUGAGGCAAUGUCUGGGGCACGCCAGGCCACGCCAGGUAGCUCAGAGGGGAGGAACGCCCCUGGCUACACAGCCUGCGUCUGAGCCCUGCUGGUGGCCAGGCCAUCUGCUGGGCUCCAUCCCUGGGCGUCUUUCCAGCCUGUCUUCAGUGCUCAGGGCGUCUUUAGCAGAGCAUAAAGUGGCAUUUCACUUGUCCCUCUACCCAACAGCAAGGAAGUGGACCUCUCUUAGGCUUUUCUUGGAAGACGAAAGGAAAGAAAGAACGUUCUCAAUGUGAGAUCCUACAGGACCACUGUACUGGGUCGAAUGGCGUCCCCCCCCACCAAAUUCAUGUCUGCAUGGAACCUACAAAUGUGACUUUGUUUGGAAAGAGGGUCUUUGCAGAUGUAAUUAAGAUGUACUCCACAGGCCUGGGGAGAUCAAGGCUAACAGCAUGUUGUAUGAGGAUGGCCCCAGUCCAAUGACUGAUGCCCUUAUAUGAGGGAAAUCUGGACACAGACACACAGAGAAGGCCACGCGGUGGUGGAGGCAGAGAUGGGAGAGAUGUGUCUACAAGCCAAGGAGCGAGCAGGACCGCCGGCCACCACCAGGAGCUGGCAGGGGCAAGGAAGUCAUUCUUCCCUGGGGGCUUCAGAGGGAGCACGGUCCCAGUACACCUUGAGUGUUGGCCUUCUGGCCUCCAGAGCUGUGAGAGAAUCCAUUUUGGUUGUUUGAAGCUGCUGAGUUUGUGGCGUUUUGUUACGGCUGUCCCAGGAAAGGAAUACAAUCACCAAAUGUCAAACACAGGGCAGCUGGGAAAAACAAGAGGGAAAUGCAUGAGGCACGUAAAGAAAAGACUUGGAAGAGACCAAGGAGGGACAGGAAGGAAUGCUUCCUCAACUUCCUCCUCGCACCCGGACAGGAAGCCGGAGACCUAGUGGCUGAGCCUUGGAAGAAGCGGCUACCUAUUCCCCCCCACAAGAGCGGGUGAGCUUGGAUGUCGGAUGAAUGAGAAGGGUCUGAAUCUUGCUGGGUCCCAGGGAGACCCUGUUAAUAAUAACAAACUCAAGAUAUGGUCUCGUCUCAUCCUCACCACAGUGCCUAAAGCAGGUUUUAUUGAAAUCCCCGUGUAUAGAUUAGGAACAAGGCAGGGCGGUUGGGUGCCUGCCCAGGGUCAUAGGCAGCAGCAGUGAUCUGGAACUGGAGCCCAGCUUUCCCACACCCUGCCCUUACCACUUGUCCUCUCCUGAUCCAGGGCUCCAGUGCCCAUGUCCAGUGCCUUGGUGGGGCUGGGCCAAGAGGCACAGCGAGGGCCCUGGCCACAGGCAGGGGCGUUGGAGCCCUGCUGCCUAGGUUUGGAUCCCAGCUCUACUCCUGGUGAGCUGUGUGACCUUGGGCAAGUUACAUUACAUCCCUGUUUUGCAGUUUCACCCACUGAGAAAAUAGGGACAAGAAUAGUACGUAACUCAUGGAGUUGCUGGAGACCUCCAUGGGUCAGUACGUUUCAGGUGCUUAGAAUAGUGCUUGGCACACUGGAAGCACAGCCAUAAAAGUGUUGUGAAAUAAAUAAAACCCGCUGGGCGAGAGAA
Molecule: long non-coding RNA, 3106 nt
Filed under: Homo sapiens (human)
Lineage: Eukaryota; Metazoa; Chordata; Mammalia; Primates; Hominidae
Description: HSALNT0391894
Source: RNAcentral